AAACUGGCGCACGCUUGAGAGACCACGUAUUUUCGUCGUGCCUCUUCGAUCCACAGAUUCUUGCUGACGGAGUUGUCACUUUGAAGGACGACUUUGCUGUUCUGAGUGCAUAACUUAUAACUCCAUCUUUCACACGGGGGAAAAAAACGGCUGUCGGCAGAAGAUGUGGCAAAUUCUUGUGUGACGUCAAAUGUCAGAAUUCACAUUGAGAGAGUGAUAGGUAGGCACCUAGAACCGGUACCACAUUCUGGAUGGCCCACUUCCUCUGCGCCUGGUGAAGGGCCUGAAGGAUGAGAGAGAGAACAGAGAAGAGGCCAUAAUUGACCGAAUUGUACACGUUUGUGGGGCAUUAAUGAACAUGUCUGGCAGUUUUAUGUACAACAGUGAUUAAAUCUUAAAGUAAAGGUGUAAUAAAUGUGCCAUAGUUUAAUUGGCUGAUCCUCAGGGCAAAAUACAGUGUGUUAUUUUCAAUAUGCAACUUGUUCUUACACAAGAACUAA
Lampris incognitus (smalleye Pacific opah) is the source of this 500-nucleotide long non-coding RNA. RefSeq lists it as uncharacterized. The transcript has 3 exons. The record is from RefSeq and is a predicted model, not a curated record. NCBI's taxonomy places the organism in Eukaryota, Metazoa, Chordata, Actinopteri, Lampriformes, Lampridae.